GCCAGGUGUGGUGGUGCAUGCCUAUAAUCCUAGCAGCUUGGGAGGCUGAGGCAGGAGAAUGGAGAGUUUAAAGCCAGCCUCAG
Molecule: small RNA, 83 nt
Filed under: Marmota monax (woodchuck)
Lineage: Eukaryota; Metazoa; Chordata; Mammalia; Rodentia; Sciuridae
Source: RNAcentral